UUUCCGGGGCUUAGUGCCGGAGCUAACGCAAUAAGCACUCCGCCUGGGGAGUACGACCGCAAGGUUGAAACUCAAAGGAAUUGACGGGGGCCCGCACAAGCGGUGGAGCAUGUGGUUUAAUUCGAAGCAACGCGAAGACCUUACCAGGUCUUGACAUCCGAUGCUAUUCUUAGAGAUAGGAAGUUACUUCGGUACAUCGAGACAGGUGGUGCAUGGUUGUCGUCAGCUCGUGUCGUGAGAUGUUGGGUUAAGUCCCGCAACGAGCGCAACCCUUAUUGUUAGUUGCCAUCAUUAAGUUGGGCACUCUAGCGAGACUGCCGGUAAUAAACCGGAGGAAGGUGGGGAUGACGUCAAAUCAUCAUGCCCCUUAUGACCUGGGCUACACACGUGCUACAAUGGUCGGUACAACGAGUUGCGAGCCGGUGACGGCAAGCUAAUCUCUGAAAGCCGAUCUCAGUUCGGAUUGGAGGCUGCAACUCGCCU
RNAcentral lists this ribosomal RNA (483 nucleotides) under Streptococcus mutans. Its description in RNAcentral is "bacterial SSU rRNA". It matches the Rfam family "Bacterial small subunit ribosomal RNA", at positions 830 to 1317 of the family's 1533-position model. Lineage: Bacteria; Bacillati; Bacillota; Bacilli; Lactobacillales; Streptococcaceae. The record is from RNAcentral.